This 415-nucleotide ribosomal RNA is filed under the name uncultured prokaryote. RNAcentral's name for it is "bacterial SSU rRNA". It matches the Rfam family "Bacterial small subunit ribosomal RNA", at positions 505 to 918 of the family's 1533-position model. The record is from RNAcentral.
GUGUCAGCAGCCGCGGUAAUACGUAGGAGGCAAGCGUUAUCCGGAUUUACUGGGCGUAAAGCGGGUGUAGGUGGCCCUUCAAGUCGGAUGUUAAAUCUCCUGGCCUAACUAGGAGGGUGCAUUCGAUACUGUUGGGCUGGAGUGCAGUAGAGGAAAGCGGAAUUCCCGGUGUAGUGGUGAAAUGCGUAGAUAUCGGGAGGAACACCAGUGGCGAAGGCGGCUUUCUGGGCUGUUACUGACACUGAGGCCCGAAGGCGUGGGGAGCAAACAGGAUUAGAUACCCUGGUAGUCCACGCAGUAAACGAUGGACACUAGGUAUGGGGAGUAUCGACCCUCCCUGUGCCGAAGCUAACGCUUUAAGUGUCCCGCCUGGGGAGUACGGUCGCAAGACUAAAACUUAAAUGAAUUGGCGGGG